AAUUUAGAAAUAUUAUUAAACAAUCGUUGAAUAUAAUGCCAUCAGUCUUUUUUUUUUUUCCACAACAGGCUUGAAAUUUGCCUAUAAGUAGCAGUCGAGAGAGGAGGUUUUCAACUCAACCUGCCUUGUGAUAAUCCAAAAUGAAAGCAUUAUUUCUCCUAGUAUGCUUUCUCUUAGCUUCCUCUCUCUUUGUUCCCACUUCCACCUUGGCUCGAGAGCUGGUUGAGAAAGGUACUAGCAACUAAACUUUAAGAUAACUUUAUAUAUAUUUUUCUCAUAAUAAAAUUGGAGAUAUUUUCAGAUUUUAUUUGAACCAUAUAUAUAUAAUUAAAUCUUAUAACAUGUUAAAUUCGAGAUUAGUUCAAUUAAUUAAUUCAAUUAUCUUUAACAUAUGGCAUCUAGUAAGUUUAAGAUUUCAAUUUCAUCUACAAUCACUUUUUUUAUCUCGAAUUUGUGAUUUUUUUUUUUAAAUUCUCAGCACUUUGCUUUAACUAAUUACAUUGAAUUUAUUUAUAUGAAUGAUUUUAAGAACAUGGACAUGGCAUAUGGCUGUUAAAUUUGCAGGCUCCGUUUCCAGUAAUAGCCCAUUUGUGCAUGGUGGAGCACUUGAUCCUAGGAAACCUGUGGCUAUGCGUGGGCGUGGAUUGCUUGCCAUAGUUGGCUAUCCCCCACCGCCUUGCAUACCCACUUAUAGGCACUGCUGGACUGCUGCAACUACACCAUGAAGGUCGUCGAAAAGCUAUGGAGGAUCUAUUCCCAUAUGCGAAAUCACAAUGGGAAUUUCAUAGCUAAUAAUAAAGUUGCCCCAAAGCAAUAACCAGAUCAUGAUCAUGAAGUUGCAGUCGCCAUGAUUUGUAUUUUGAAGACUACUACUACAACUUUGUUUAGUAAAUAUGUGCCAUAAGAUAGUUCUCAAAGAGCUCAGUUCUUAAGGUCCAAUAGAUCAAAGCAAACAUUAUCUUGCAAGUUGGUGUAGACCGUCACAGACAACUAUAGCUUUUCAUCUAAAUGAACCUAAAUGCUUGUCCCAACAAAUUCCAAAGAACUAAAUGAAUGUCAUCUAAAACAAACUAAAAACUAAAUGGAAUUUUUGGUCUUUUCACAAUUCCAUGCAAAACCCAUCAAGAAUCUACCUGUAUUUUAUCCAAAAAUUCAAUCUUCUUUCCACUAAAUUGAAAUUAGUGACAUUAUUCAACAGAAAAAUUCGCAAAGAUUCGACUCUAACAACAAAAACCCAUUUCUUUUCUCACCAUGUGCAACAAAAAUAACACAACAAUUAUUACAAAAAGAAAUGAACAAAACAGUUAAGAGCCUUGAACGCUGCAUAAAAAAUUGAGCUAAAAAAUGGAAUCGAAAAGGAUUGCAAGAGAGAGUUGAGGAGGGUAGGAAAGAGUGGUGACUCACCUUUUUGGGAGAGCCAAGUUGACUCGUCAAUUUGGGGAAUUUUAGGUGGUUAGUGGAAGUGCUGUUAGGGUUUUGGCUCAGGC
Molecule: long non-coding RNA, 1487 nt
Filed under: Durio zibethinus
Lineage: Eukaryota; Viridiplantae; Streptophyta; Magnoliopsida; Malvales; Malvaceae
Description: long non-coding RNA (DZIB_LNC001991)
Source: RNAcentral